AUUCCGGUUGAUCCUGCCGGAGGCCCUUGCUAUCGGAGUCCGAUUUAGCCAUGCUAGUCGUGCGAGUUCAGACUCGCGGCGCCGAGCUCAGUAACACGUGGCCAAACUACCCUACAGAGACGGAUACCCUCGGGAAACUGAGGUUAACCCGUCAUACCGAUCUCAGGCUUGAAUCGCAGAGAUCACAAAACGCCCCGGCGCUGUAGGAUGUGGCUGCGGUUGAUUAGGUAGACGGUGGGGUAACGGCCCACCGUGCCCAUAAUCAGUACAGGUUGUGAGAGCAAGAACCUGGAGACGGAAUCUGAGACAAGAUUCCGGGCCCUACGGGGCGCAGCAGGCGCGAAACCUUUACACUGCACGCACGUGCGAUAAGGGGACUCCGAGUGCGAGGGCAUAUCGUCCUCGCUUUCGUGUACCGUAGGGUGGUACACCAACAAGGGCUGGGCAAGACCGGUGCCAGCCGCCGCGGUAAUACCGGCAGCCCGAGUGAUGGCCGAUCUUAUUGGGCCUAAAGCGUCCGUAGCU
This 525-nucleotide ribosomal RNA is filed under the name uncultured haloarchaeon. RNAcentral's name for it is "bacterial SSU rRNA". It matches the Rfam family "Archaeal small subunit ribosomal RNA", at positions 1 to 526 of the family's 1478-position model. Lineage: Archaea; Methanobacteriati; Methanobacteriota; Halobacteria; Halobacteriales; Halobacteriaceae. The record is from RNAcentral.